ACUCAAAUGAAUAGACGGGAACCCGCACAAGCGGUGGAUCACGUGGUUUAAUUCGAUACUGAGCGAAGAACCUUACCAAGGCUUGAAAUCUAGCUGCACGCUUCCGGAAACGGAAGCCUCCUUCGAGGGUGCUAGACAGGUGUUGCAUGGUUGUCGUCAGCUCGUGGCGUGAGCUGUUGGGUUAAGUCCCGCAACGAGCGCAACCCUUGCCCUGUGUUGAAAUCUCACAGGGGACUGCCGGCGUAUAGUCGGAGGAAGGCGAGGAUGACGUCAAAUCCGCAUGGCCCUCUGAUGCCUUGGGCUACACGCGUGAUACAAUGGCCGAUACAAAGGGACGCAGAACCGUAAGGCGAAGCAAAUCCCAUCAAAGUCGGUCCCAGUUCGAAUCGAGGGCUGCAACUCGCCCUCGUGAAGCCGGAAUCGCUAGUAACCGUGGGUCAGCCAUACCACGGUGAAUACGUUCUCGGGUUUUGUACACACCGCCCGU
This 487-nucleotide ribosomal RNA is filed under the name uncultured bacterium. Its description in RNAcentral is "partial 16S ribosomal RNA". It matches the Rfam family "Bacterial small subunit ribosomal RNA", at positions 899 to 1397 of the family's 1533-position model. The record is from RNAcentral.